GUGUCAUUGUGAUGUUGGCUCGGUUCACUCAGACAAAAACUCUGGUUGAAGCUUGAGAUGUUAAGCGUACAAUUUAACGGUGGUUUAGCUUUGAUUGAGCCGUGCCAAUAUCUCAGUGUUCUUU
This is a non-coding RNA of Jatropha curcas, 124 nucleotides long. The record is from Rfam. NCBI's taxonomy places the organism in Eukaryota, Viridiplantae, Streptophyta, Magnoliopsida, Malpighiales, Euphorbiaceae.